GAAUGGGUUGGCUGGGUGAGAAGAGGGUUGGAGUUAGUUGGUUACUUUGUGAGGAAGAAAGAGUCAGUGCUCUGAAGAGCUGCUCAUGAGAAAACACCAAGAAGUAAGGUGUUGGGAUUCCAUCAGCUCAGCAGCAGAGAUUUCUAUUCUUCACCAUAAAAAGCAAAAAAUGGGAGCAGCAAGUAAAGGUCUCAAGGGGCUUUCCAUCCAUGUGCUGCCUGCACUCUUGUCCCUUUUCUGAGGGACACCUGGUGUGGGACAGGGUGCAACAACUCUCCAGAUGUUCACAGAACUGGAGCUCCUCACCACCCUCUUUUGGGUCAAGUUCUGACACUACCUGAGGGGACCCAGAAGGUGAAUCUCUAAUUGUAAAGAUGGGACUUGCAUUCAGGAACACCCUCCCUCCAUGAAAGAUUUCUGGAAAAAGCUGGGCUUUUACACAUCUUGUAAUAAGGCUGAAAUAGCAGCAUAAUUUCCUGAGGCUGAGAGAAUCCUCUCUCUGUGCUGGCCAAGAGUGAUGCUAAGUUCAGGGAGACACCUUACUUCAGAUUUGGUUUUAGUGUUUUUAAGCCCAUACUGCUCACCACUCUACCCCAAAUGCUGUCUUUCACUGACAGCACCGCCAUGUGCUUUGUCUAGUCAACGCCUGGUGUUCCAUUGGAAUGACCAAACGGCUCAAAAUCACACUUCUAAUUUAAAAAGUGUUGCUGAAUACCGUUCUUCUUUUGGAUCAUGUGUGUGGUUGCUGGAGCCACCUGUUCCAUUUGCAUUUUCUCUCACAGCUGACCCACCCAGGUAAGCAGCACUACAUUAAACUAGCGAAAGAGAGCACCUAAUCCUCAGAAAAAACAAAUUCACCUUUAUUCAGGAAGAUUUUCCAAGGAUGUGCCCGGACUUAAGUGUCCAGUGCUGCCUGAGGGCUGGUUUCCAAAGGAACAGGGAAGUUUUCUCAGCAGUCCUUUCAUGGCUUGAGCAUCUGGCACAUCACACGCUCCUCACGCACUGACCUCUGACUGCCUACACUUGUCAUCGACAGCAACCAAAGUCCCCAGGACCAAUCCAAACUCUAGGAUUGCACCUGUCAUUAACAGCAAGCAAAGUCCUCAGGUCUCACCAAUCCAAACUCCAGGACUGAAAUAUGGAGCUUAAGAAAUGAUCCUGCUGCUGGCUGCCAUUGAAGUGCCUGCAUUUUCAUUUCACCAAUACUUGGUGAUAUAGACACCUCGUAUGAACACAGCAUCUUUCACUUCCUUUGUGCCACGAGGAUUAUGUAAUUUCUGGAGGUUGAAGCUGCACUGUUUAGGUAUUGAAUGGUUAUUUUGAAGAGUUUCAACAAUCAGCCCUCUCUGGUCAGUGCUGGCAAGGAGUCACCAACUUCAGUGAGAGCAAAGAUGAGCUAGCAGUACAUUGAAAUAAAGCCCACAGUACUUCUAUUUCAAUUAAUUUCUGACAACUACUCUCUGCAACCAGAAUAUUUUAAAGUUGAUGCAGCACACAUUUUUUUAUUUUAGGGGCUUUUUUUUUUUCACAGAGCCACCCAACAUGCGAGACUGAGAAAUCUCCACCUGAGUCUGUUAAUCCAUGGAAGGACAAAUUCUGUACAGACUUCACAUUAAAUAUUAAAAUAUUGAGACCCAUGCUAGCAUGAGAGAAUAUAAAAAUAUUCAUGCUUUUUUUCUUACAUCAUUAUUUAUCCCAAGUAAGUCACUGAUCAAAAGCCUACAUACUAAAUCUGUAAAAAAAAAAGGUUGCAUAUAUUAGCACAUACUGUUUAUUUAGGCUAGAUAGACUUUGAGAUUAUUUAGGUUCUAGUCUUUGAUAAUAUCUCACUAUGUCCUGAUCUUAUAUAGAAACCUCAGGUCACUCAAGUAGAAAAAGCUAUAAAAAAAUCUUGAUAGUAUAUGAACUGUUUCUAGUGUUCUCUAUCCAUGGAAAUUGAGGAAGCUGGUAUGUUUGUCCAGAAGAAGAUUAAAAUUUCAUUGCAAUUUCACUUGCUCAGUAAGCUUGGGGUGAUACUGGACACAGCUGUGUCACUUAUAUUUUUGGGGUCAAUUCAUGUGGUCAUAUCAGUCCUCAGAACAGGAGAGAAUCUCAUAGAUAAGCUAGAGUUAGUGCAAUAUGCUUUCAUGGAUUUUUUUUUUUCAGUCAGUUAAAUUAGUUUGUUUUUAUUCCAUGUAGGAUGAGUGGGUAUGUUAAAAAACCUACCAUAUUUUCUAAAGCAAAUUACUAUCUCAGGCUAAUACCAGACAUUCAUAUUAUUUGAAUGAAAUGUUCAAUAUUGAUGGUAGCUGAUUGUUUGUCUUUGCAUAGUGUCCUUAACGCAAACAAAUCUGUUAAGAAAUCUUCCAAGAAAUGUUUUUCAGCAGAAAGUAUUCAAUCAUCAAAGCCAAGGCUUUUAGAAAGGAGCAGACAUGGACAAAAACAUCUGGACAAAAAUAUCUUCAUACCAAAAUUUUGAUAAUACAUUGUUUUAAUAUUUUUGUCAUUAAUCUUUUUUAUUUUGUUUAAAAAUUUCAGCAUCUCUGACUUGUAUAUGGAUUAAAAAUGGGGAAAAUGUGCAAAUGGCUGUUAAAUAACUUAGAUUUAAAAGUAAACCAUUUAAUACUGAUAGCACAACCAGAGCAUAAGCAGGCAGCUUUUGGGAUUGGUGAGAAACAAGGAUUAGAGGUGGGAAUCAGGCAGAAAUCUGCCCUCAUGUUAUUUGUGCUCAACCAGUCAUUGUGACUGCAGAAUCCCAACAGGGGAGGCUGUUCAUUUUUAGACAUUAAACACAGCUCUUUUUUGUUGUGAAAAUGUGCUACCUGAUAAAAGGAUAUCAACUUUUUCUCAAAAGGCUGCAUUUUUUACACUUUUUAAAAAAUCAAUUUAAAGAAUGUCUUUUUUCUUUUAGAUCUUUCUAUGUGUUCGUACGUUAUUGUUUGCCUGUGAAACACCGCACAAAGUCCAUUUUUUGAGAAAGACUGUGUAUUCUUUUCAUCCCUGCUAGCUUAAGAAAGAAGAAAAAAGGCAGGGAGAAAGAAGAGGGGAAAAAUAAGGCAAUGCUUUCCCACAUAUUCCACCAGGAACCUCAUCUGGAAACUCCCAGGAGAUCCACGUUUGGCCUCACCAGGAACAGGAUAGAAAUAGCAAUAACAGUGUCUUUGACUUGCUGGAACUUUUGUGGCACCAACACAAAAGUUCCGCAGCACAAUUUCCUAUUUUGCAUUGUAUUUUCCUCCCCAAGAAUUCCGUGCCUCUGCAAUCUGGGUUGGAGGGCGGCACCCUCGAGUGCAGAUCAUGCUGAAUAAUAGGAGGAGGAGGAGCCUGCCAACCCUUCCUCUCCUUCUCUCCUGUUGUGGCACGAGGGAACUCAGCUGUGAAUGCUGGAUGACUCUGCAGUAUAAUUAGGGCUCCGGGUUUUAAUUCCAGUUUGCACAAUUAACUCCUUAGCAGCCUCAGGGGAUGACUCAGGUAUAAACCAGAGAUGUCCUGUGCCAUUUUAGGGUGCCCCAGAAUGCUGCAAAAGGCUGCUAGACUCUGGAAUGAACAGUAGAAGACACAAGUCUUUCUGAAGCUGCAGUAGGAGGCCACGCCCGGUGCACCAAAAAAUGGAAAUAUCAAUGUAUGGCUAGGCACCAAAAUCACUCUUCUCUAUUUGAAA
This is a long non-coding RNA of Passer domesticus (house sparrow), 3640 nucleotides long. RefSeq lists it as uncharacterized. The transcript has 3 exons. Lineage: Eukaryota; Metazoa; Chordata; Aves; Passeriformes; Passeridae. The record is from RefSeq and is a predicted model, not a curated record.